UUUGAAUUAGCUUCACUCUGAGGCUUUAUAUAACUGCAGCAGUAUUUGGGGAGUAUUUAUCAAAUCCUAUUUCUUCCUUUUUGGGUGAUAUGAAAUUACCUUCAGUGGUUGAAAUCGGCUUUGCUCGUUGAAGGCUUGAUUUUGUUACCCCUGUUUCUCUCUUUCAGGACUCACAGAUAGCUGCCCGGUUCCUACAGUCGGCCAAUGUUCCACUCCCUGUGGCAGCAGAAAAAUAUCACAACCAAUAAAUCAGAAAUAUUCCAAACAGACUCUAGGUUCAAUAUUUGUUUGUGUCUGUUUCACUGUAAGAGUGUUAUGUUUUGGGGGGGCGCCUGGGUGGCUCAGUCGGUCAAGCGUCUGACUUCAGCUCAGGUCACGAUCUCGCGGUCCGUGAGUUCGAGCCCCGCGUCGGGCUCUGGGCUGAUGGCUCAGAGCCUGGAGCCUGCUUCCCAUUCUGUGUCUCCCUCUCUCUCUGCCCCUCCCCCGUUCAUGCUCUGUCUCUCUCUGUCUCAAAAAUAAAUAAAUGUUAAAAAAAAUUUUUUUUUUAA
Panthera uncia (snow leopard) is the source of this 548-nucleotide long non-coding RNA. RefSeq lists it as uncharacterized. Lineage: Eukaryota; Metazoa; Chordata; Mammalia; Carnivora; Felidae. The transcript is spliced from 2 exons. The record is from RefSeq and is a predicted model, not a curated record.